Neocloeon triangulifer is the source of this 669-nucleotide long non-coding RNA. RefSeq lists it as uncharacterized. The transcript has 4 exons. The record is from RefSeq and is a predicted model, not a curated record. NCBI's taxonomy places the organism in Eukaryota, Metazoa, Arthropoda, Insecta, Ephemeroptera, Baetidae.
UGGGAAUAUUCUAGAAGAAGGGCAAUCUUUUGUUUAUGAAAAGUGGGUGGGUGCUUAUGGUAUAUAAGGAGCUCCCCCGUCGGCCGCAGCACGACUUGCAGAUCCGCCUUUUACCGAUUAGGAUCGACCACAAGCAGACCGUUCCGUCCCCGACGACCGGACGGCCUCCCUUGCCUCCACCCUGGUCAGUUGUGCCCCCGCCAGAGGAUCCCGAGCUGCACCUGUCCCGUCCAACCUUGACGGGCGGACCCUCUCACCGGACAGCGACGUCGGACAGAAGCGGUGCCUAACCCGGACACUCCACCCCGGCUGCUACAAGUCACCCUCCAAACCCGUGCCUGCAAUUAACCCAGGCCCUCCAGACGGUGACCUGCCUUGCCGUGGCCCUCAGGAGAAGACCUGGUUCCGCCCGCUGCCAUCCGUCCGACCAUCACGUCCUGCUGCGAGUCCACCACCUCCGCAGGUGUCCGGACCGUUGCUGCUGCCAGCUGACCAGCCACCUCUGAGGCAAUAGUUCCUGCUGCCUGCCGCCGCCCACAGCUACGACCCCGCUCAAGAGCGCCCUUUCUGCAACCCCUUCCCGAAAAACCAAGACUGUAUUCCCAGAAAAUUAAAUCAAAUCUCAAAUAUUUAGAAGUGUGCAAUUUAUAGGGAAUAUAACCAAACCCA